This 257-nucleotide ribosomal RNA is filed under the name uncultured bacterium. Its description in RNAcentral is "partial 16S ribosomal RNA". It matches the Rfam family "Bacterial small subunit ribosomal RNA", at positions 524 to 778 of the family's 1533-position model. The record is from RNAcentral.
UACGUAGGUGGCAAGCGUUGUCCGGAAUUAUUGGGCGUAAAGCGCGCGCAGGCGGUCUCUUAAGUCUGAUGUGAAAGCCCCCGGCUCAACCGGGGAGGGUCAUUGGAAACUGGGAGACUUGAGUGCAGAAGAGAAGAGUGGAAUUCCACGUGUAGCGGUGAAAUGCGUAGAGAUGUGGAGGAACACCAGUGGCGAAGGCGACUCUUUGGUCUGUAACUGACGCUGAGGCGCGAAAAGCGUGGGGGAGCAAACAGGAU